Molecule: ribosomal RNA, 301 nt
Filed under: uncultured bacterium
Lineage: Bacteria
Description: partial 16S ribosomal RNA
Rfam family: Bacterial small subunit ribosomal RNA
Source: RNAcentral
CAGUCGCCACGGUAAUACGUAGGUGGCAAGCGUUGUCCGGAAUUAUUGGGCGUAAAGCGCGCGCAGGUGGUUUAAUAAGUCUGAUGUGAAAGCCCACGGCUCGACCGUGGAGGGUCAUUGGAAACUGUUAAACUUGAGUGCAGGAGAGAAAAGUGGAAUUCCUAGUGUAGCGGUGAAAUGCGUAGAGAUUAGGAGGAACACCAGUGGCGAAGGCGGCUUUUUGGCCUGUAACUGACACUGAGGCGCGAAAGCGUGGGGAGCAAACAGGAUUAGAUACCCCCGUAGUCCCUGUCUCUUAUAC